Molecule: ribosomal RNA, 508 nt
Filed under: uncultured Allobaculum sp.
Lineage: Bacteria; Bacillati; Bacillota; Erysipelotrichia; Erysipelotrichales; Erysipelotrichaceae
Description: partial 16S ribosomal RNA
Source: RNAcentral
CACGUAGUUAGCCGUGACUUUCUGGCGGGGCACCAUCAGUCAGCACCCAUUUCCUGAUGCUGCCUUUUUUUCCCCGCAACAGAGCUUUACGACCCGAAGGCCUUCUUCACUCACGCGGCAUCGCUCGUUCAGGCUUGCGCCCAUUGACGAAAAUUCCCUACUGCUGCCUCCCGCAGGAGUCUGGGCCGUGUCUCAGUCCCAAUGUGGCCGUCCGCCCUCUCAGGCCGGCUAUGCAUCAUCGUCUUGGUGGGCCUUUACCCGCCAACCAACUAAUGCACCGCAGGUCCAUCCGCGCCCCAUCCCCUAAAGGACUGUUUCACAGAAAGAAGAUGCCUCCUUCCUGUACAUCGGGAUUUGUUCUCCGUUUCCAGAGCGUAUUCCCGGUGCGCGGGCAGGUUCCUACGUGUUACUCACCCGUUCGCCACUAGAGACCCGAAGGUCUCUCGUUCGACUUGCUAUGUAUUAGGCAUGCCGCCAGCCGUUCAUCCUGACGCCAGGACUACUAAAA